UGGGGAAUAUUGCACAAUGGGCGCAAGCCUGAUGCAGCCAUGCCGCGUGUAUGAAGAAGGCCUUCGGGUUGUAAAGUACUUUCAGCGGGGAGGAAGGGAGUAAAGUUAAUACCUUUGCUCAUUGACGUUACCCGCAGAAGAAGCACCGGCUAACUACGUGCCAGCAGCCGCGGUAAUACGUAGGGCGCGAGCGUUGUCCGGAAUUAUUGGGCGUAAAGGGCUUGUAGGCGGCUUGUUGCGCCUGCUGUGAAAACGCGGGGCUUAACUUCGCGCGUGCAGUGGGUACGGGCAGGCUUGAGUGUGGUAGGGGUGACUGGAAUUCCAGGUGUAGCGGUGGAAUGCGCAGAUAUCUGGAGGAACACCGAUGGCGAAGGCAGGUCACUGGGCCAUUACUGACGCUGAGGAGCGAAAGCAUGGGUAGCGAACAGG
RNAcentral lists this ribosomal RNA (429 nucleotides) under Chloroflexota bacterium. RNAcentral describes it as "Chloroflexi bacterium partial 16S ribosomal RNA". It matches the Rfam family "Bacterial small subunit ribosomal RNA", at positions 355 to 776 of the family's 1533-position model. The record is from RNAcentral. Lineage: Bacteria; Bacillati; Chloroflexota.